AAUUACAUGAGUUUGAUCCUGGCUCAGGACGAACGCUGGCGGCGUGCCUAAUACAUGCAAGUCGAGCGGCUGAUGGGAGCUUGCUCCCUGAUGUUAGCGGCGGACGGGUGAGUAACACGUGGGUAACCUGCCUGUAAGACUGGGAUAACUCCGGGAAACCGGGGCUAAUACCGGAUGGUUGUUUGAACCGCAUGGUUCAAACAUAAAAGGUGGCUUCGGCUACCACUUACAGAUGGACCCGCUGGCGCAUUAGCUAGUUGGUGAGGUAACGGCCGACCAAGGCAACGAUGCGUAGCCGACCUAGAGAGGGUGAUCGGCCACACUGGGACUGAGACACGGCCCAGACUCCUACGGGAGGCAGCAGUUAGGUAAUCUUCCGCAAUGGACGAAAGUCUGACGGAGCAACGCCGCGUGAGUGAUGAAGGUUUUCGGAUCGUAAAGCUCUGUUGUCAGGGAAGAACAAGUACCGUUCGAAUAGGGCGGUACCUUGACGGUACCUAACCAGAAAGCCACGGCUAACUACGUGCCAGCAGCCGCGGAAAUACGUAGGUGGCAAGCGUUAUCCGGAAUUAUUGGGCGUAAAAGGGCUCGCAGGCGGUUUCUCAAGUCUGAUGUGAAAAGCCCCCGGCUCAACCGGGGAGGGUCAUUGGAAACAUGGGGAACUUAAGUUGCAGAAGAGGAGAGUGGAAUUCCACGUGUAGCGGUGAAAUGCGUAGAGAUGUGGAGGAACACCAGUGGCGAAGGCGACUAGCUGGUCUGUAACUGACGCUGAGGAGCGAAAGCGUGGGGAGGCGAACAGGAUUAGAUACCCUGGUAGUCGCACGCGCCAAAACGAUGAGUGCUAAGUGUUAGGGGGUUUCCGCCCCUUAGUGCUGCAGUAACGCAUUAAGCACUCCGCCUGGGGAGUACGGUCGCAAGACUGACACUCAAAGAAGGCG
RNAcentral lists this ribosomal RNA (938 nucleotides) under Bacillus subtilis. Its description in RNAcentral is "bacterial SSU rRNA". It matches the Rfam family "Bacterial small subunit ribosomal RNA", at positions 1 to 912 of the family's 1533-position model. The record is from RNAcentral. Lineage: Bacteria; Bacillati; Bacillota; Bacilli; Caryophanales; Bacillaceae.